Molecule: ribosomal RNA, 322 nt
Filed under: uncultured eukaryote
Lineage: Eukaryota
Description: partial 18S ribosomal RNA
Rfam family: Eukaryotic small subunit ribosomal RNA
Source: RNAcentral
CCCUUAGAUGUUCUGGGCCGCACGCGCGCUACAAUGAUUGUCUCAGCAUGUUUUGGGUGUGUAAAUACCCAGGAAUUCCGAGUAACAAUCGUGAUGGGGCUAGACCCUUGCAAUUUUUGGUCUCCAACGAGGAAUUCCUAGUAAAGGCAAGUCAUCAGCUUGCAUUGAUUACGUCCCUGCCCUUUGUACACACCGCCCGUCGCUCCUACCGAUUGAAUGAUCCGAUGAAUAUCAUGGAUUGAGGAUGCAAGCAGGUUAGCCUAUCUUCAUCUUCGAGAAGUGAAGUAAAUCUUAUCAUUUAGAGGAAGGAGAAGUCGCAACA